Molecule: ribosomal RNA, 483 nt
Filed under: uncultured bacterium
Lineage: Bacteria
Description: bacterial SSU rRNA
Rfam family: Bacterial small subunit ribosomal RNA
Source: RNAcentral
AUUGAACGCUGGCGGCAUGCCUAACACAUGCAAGUCGAACGGUAACAGGCCCUUCGGGUGCUGACGAGUGGCGGAUGGGUGAGUAAUACUUAGGAAUCUACCCUGUAGUGGGGGACAACCCGGGGAAACUCGGGCUAAUACCGCAUACGCUCUACGGAGGAAAGCGGGGGACCGCAAGGCCUCGCGCUAUUGGAUGAGCCUAAGCCCGAUUAGCUAGUUGGUGGGGUAAUGGCCUACCAAGGCAAUGAUCGGUAGCUGGUCUGAGAGGACGACCAGCCACACUGGGACUGAGACACGGCCCAGACUCCUACGGGAGGCAGCAGUGGGGAAUAUUGGACAAUGGGCGAAAGCCUGAUCCAGCGAUGCCGCGUGUGUGAAGAAGGCCUGCGGGUUGUAAAGCACUUUCAGUAGGGAAGAAAUGCUUGGAGCUAGCACCGCCAAGUUUUGACGUUACCUACAGAAGAAGCACCGGCUAACUCCGUG